UUUGACGAUAUCAUGCUCAGAAGUCAGAUCGUAAUGUGUCGAUGGUUGAUUUCUCUGGUCUUGUUCUAUGACUCUCAAAAAUUGCACACGCAACGGAGUGGGGAGACUUUUUUCUGCUGGCUUCCAACAUAGUUCGUGCUACUUGAUGAAAUAACGAGCAAAGUGCUGGAACUGUACGUUCUCUGUGAUACCUUUGUUGGGACCAGUUUAGAAAUAUGGGCUUCGUUACCCUUGAAACGAAAACAAGAGCCACUUUUUUUGCGAAACUGGCAGUUGUUGACUACGCUGUGGACGAAGACUGGUUUCAUUUAAUGGUGUAAUACGUGAGUUAUUUGGAGUUUAAAAUGUGUGAGAUGGUGGGUUUAUCGAAAGCCUCGUUGUCCAGGAGAACAAGAUGGCAGCAUUGCAGGCAGACUGAGCAUGGUAUCUAGCGAGGGAAGAAUGUGCUGUCUAUUCUGCUGGUCAAGUGACAGUUCUCAACUGCUGCUGUUCAUUUCAUGGCAACGUUUGCAAAUAACAAAUAAUAGAUACACUUAUUCAUGAUAUACUUCUGCCAGGUAUGGCCUCAAAAAUGUUGGUGUACCCACCACAUCUUUAUCAAACACAAACGAGUGCCUUUUGCAGUGUGAAGAAACAGAGUUGAGCUCAACAGCUGUUUUUUUUUAUGAUUGGAGCCUGUCGACCUAUAUAAUUGGAAUACAUUUUGGCAUUGCCCAGCCUACCAAUAUCCUCCAUUUAAGACAAACUUCAAC
Long non-coding RNA from Salvelinus namaycush (lake trout), 752 nucleotides. RefSeq lists it as uncharacterized. NCBI's taxonomy places the organism in Eukaryota, Metazoa, Chordata, Actinopteri, Salmoniformes, Salmonidae. The record is from RefSeq and is a predicted model, not a curated record. The transcript has 3 exons.